RNAcentral lists this RNase P RNA (339 nucleotides) under Fidelibacterota bacterium. Its description in RNAcentral is "RNase P RNA component class A". It matches the Rfam family "Bacterial RNase P class A". Rfam says of the family: Ribonuclease P (RNase P) is a ubiquitous endoribonuclease, found in archaea, bacteria and eukarya as well as chloroplasts and mitochondria. Lineage: Bacteria; Pseudomonadati; Fidelibacterota. The record is from RNAcentral.
GGAGUCGAUCGGAUGACUGCCCUUAAUUUUAUUAAGGGAGGAAAGUCCGAACUCCGCAGGACAGACUGCCUCUUAACAAGAGGAUCGUAAGAAUGGCAAGUGCAACAGAAAGUAAACUUCUACAUUAGUAGAAAAGGUGAAAUGGUGGUGUAAGAGACCACCAGUUAAUUAGAAAACUAAUUAAGCUAGGUAAACCCCAGUCGGAGCAAAAUUGAACAGCCCUGUGUGGUCCGCAUAAAGGGUGGGUAAAUUGCAUGAAUUAAAUUGCGAAAUUUAAUCCAGAUGAAUAGUCAUCAUCCGUUAGGAUUACAGAAUUCGGCUUAUAGAUUGACUCCAAAA